AUGAUGAAAUUCCCAUGCUUUUAUGUCAUAUGGAUGACUACUGGGAGUCUUUUUCUAGAAAGCCUGGUAGUUCCAUUUUCGGGACAGUGGUUGCUAUUACUGUUUGCUAACAACUGUAAAAAACGUUGUGGCAAUAAUGAUGAAAAUUCCCAUGCUUUUCUGUCAUAUGGUGAAGUUCACGACACUGUAUGGGUUACUGAAUUAAAGGAGGUGAAUAAAAUGGGAUUACCUGUAUUGUGUCACCAAAGGCUGAGGGACCUCAAAUACAUUAUUUGCUUAAUUGCAAGCCAACCAGUAGGAAGCAAGGUUCCAAAUAAAAAAAAGAGGGAUAGCAAUCCCUGA
This 342-nucleotide ribosomal RNA is filed under the name Triticum aestivum (bread wheat). RNAcentral describes it as "partial small subunit ribosomal RNA". Lineage: Eukaryota; Viridiplantae; Streptophyta; Magnoliopsida; Poales; Poaceae. The record is from RNAcentral.